RNAcentral lists this ribosomal RNA (463 nucleotides) under uncultured bacterium. Its description in RNAcentral is "bacterial SSU rRNA". It matches the Rfam family "Bacterial small subunit ribosomal RNA", at positions 8 to 469 of the family's 1533-position model. The record is from RNAcentral.
AGGGUUUGAUCCUGGCUCAGGAUGAACGCUAGCGGCAGGCCUAAUACAUGCAAGUCGAGGGGCAGCACUUACUUCGGUAAGUGGCGACCGGCGCACGGGUGAGUAACACGUAUGCAACCUACCUUUAACUGGGGCAUAGCUCGAGGAAACUCGAAUUAAUUCCCCAUAAUAUAAUACAUUAUCUCAUGAUAUAAUUAUUAAAGAUUUAUCGGUUAAAGAUGGGCAUGCGUCUGAUUAGUUUGUUGGUGAGGUAACGGCUCACCAAGACUUCGAUCAGUAGGGGGUCUGAGAGGAUGAUCCCCCACACUGGUACUGAGAUACGGACCAGACUUCUACGGAAGGCAGCAGUAAGGAAUAUUGGGCAAUGGGCGAAAGCCUGACCCAGCCAUGCCGCGUGCAGGAUGACGAUCUUACGGAUUGUAAACUGCUUUUAUAUAGGAAGAAAAUACUCUUGCGAGAGUAA